RNAcentral lists this ribosomal RNA (253 nucleotides) under uncultured bacterium. Its description in RNAcentral is "partial 16S ribosomal RNA". It matches the Rfam family "Bacterial small subunit ribosomal RNA", at positions 524 to 776 of the family's 1533-position model. The record is from RNAcentral.
UACGAAGGGGGCUAGCGUUGUUCGGAUUUACUGGGCGUAAAGCGCGCGUAGGCGGCUCACUAAGUCAGGGGUGAAAUCCCGAGGCUUAACCUCGGAACUGCCUUUGAUACUGGUGAUCUGGAGAUCGGGAGAGGUUGGUGGAAUUCCGAGUGUAGAGGUGAAAUUCGUAGAUAUUCGGAGGAACACCAGAAGCGAAGGCGGCCAACUGGCCCGAUACUGACGCUGAGGCGCGAAAGCGUGGGGAGCAAACAGG